UACGGAGGGGGCUAGCGUUGUUCGGAAUUACUGGGCGUAAAGCGUGCGCAGGCGGUUAUGCAAGCCAGAUGUGAAAUCCCCGGGCUUAACCUGGGAACUGCAUUUGUGACUGCAUAGCUGGAGUACGGUAGAGGGGGAUGGAAUUCCGCGUGUAGCAGUGAAAUGCGUAGAUAUGCGGAGGAACACCGAUGGCGAAGGCAGUCCCCUGGACCUGUACUGACGCUCAUGCACGAAAGCGUGGGGAGCAAACAGG
This 253-nucleotide ribosomal RNA is filed under the name uncultured bacterium. RNAcentral's name for it is "partial 16S ribosomal RNA". It matches the Rfam family "Bacterial small subunit ribosomal RNA", at positions 524 to 776 of the family's 1533-position model. The record is from RNAcentral.